Long non-coding RNA from Camponotus floridanus (Florida carpenter ant), 401 nucleotides. RefSeq lists it as uncharacterized. Lineage: Eukaryota; Metazoa; Arthropoda; Insecta; Hymenoptera; Formicidae. The record is from RefSeq and is a predicted model, not a curated record. The transcript has 3 exons.
AAUAAUUUCACAAAUUUCAAAAUCUUUGUAUAAUCAAUUUCAUCUUCAAUUUGAACCGACAAAGCGAGCUUAUGUCUUAAAUGCUAAUAUUUUCCUUUUUAUUCUUGAGAGAAAUGCUAAAUACAUGCUUACAAGCUUAUUAAAUAAUUACAAAAAAAUAAGACACAGAAAAGUCAAGGAAAUUGUACCAUUAAUUGUUGUAAUUAAUAAUGCGUAUUCUAAGGGACAGUUGGAUGAGAUAAAGAAAUUUGUAAAAAAGGGACUGAAAAAUUCAAUCAUUUCAAUUACCGAUGUUGAACAGAAGAUAGAAACACGCAGUUCGGAGAUCGAAAAACACAUAAAUUAUUUUCGAUCUUUAUUCAACAAUUGAAUAACUAAAUCUUGAAGACAUUAACUGUUCA